RNAcentral lists this ribosomal RNA (426 nucleotides) under uncultured bacterium. RNAcentral describes it as "partial 16S ribosomal RNA". It matches the Rfam family "Bacterial small subunit ribosomal RNA", at positions 354 to 796 of the family's 1533-position model. The record is from RNAcentral.
GUGAGGAAUUUUCCGCAAUGGGCGAAAGCCUGACGGAGCAAUGCCGCGUGAAGGAUGAAGGCCUAUGGGUUGUAAACUUCUUUUCUCAGAAAAGAAUUAUGACGGUAUCUGAGGAAUAAGCAUCGGCUAACUCUGUGCCAGCAGCCGCGGUAAGACAGAGGAUGCAAGCGUUAUCCGGAAUGAUUGGGCGUAAAGCGUCUGUAGGUUGUUUAAAAAGUAUUCUGUCAAAGAUUAGGGCUUAACCCUAGAUAGGCAGAAUAAACUUUUAAGCUAGAGGUAGGUAGAGGCAGAGGGAAUUACAGGUGGAGCGGUGAAAUGCGUAGAUAUCGGGAGGAACACCAAAAGCGAAGGCACUCUGCUGGGCCAAUACUAACACUGAGAGACGAAAGCGAGGAGAGCAAAUGUGAUUAGAUACCCCUGUAGUCC